GCAGGAGGACGGCCUCCCCCAUAGUGGGAACCGAUUCGGGACGGCCCGG
Molecule: non-coding RNA, 49 nt
Filed under: Dyadobacter psychrophilus
Lineage: Bacteria; Pseudomonadati; Bacteroidota; Cytophagia; Cytophagales; Spirosomataceae
Description: Guanidine-II sequence
Rfam family: Guanidine-II riboswitch aptamer (mini-ykkC)
About the family: Simpler in structure and has fewer highly conserved nucleotide positions than the ykkC-yxkD leader.
Source: RNAcentral